This 775-nucleotide ribosomal RNA is filed under the name uncultured Neocallimastigales. Its description in RNAcentral is "partial large subunit ribosomal RNA". It matches the Rfam family "Eukaryotic large subunit ribosomal RNA", at positions 22 to 628 of the family's 3401-position model. Lineage: Eukaryota; Fungi; Neocallimastigomycota; Neocallimastigomycetes; Neocallimastigales. The record is from RNAcentral.
GUACACGCUGUGACUAGCAUAUCAAUAAGCGGAGGAAAAGAAACUAACAAGGAUUCCCCUAGUAACGGCGAGUGAAGCGGGAAGAGCUCAAAUUUGAAAUCUUAAAGGGUUUCCCUUUACGAAUUGUAGUUUAAAGAAGUGUUUUCUGUUGAGGUUUUGGUAAAAGUUCUUUGGAAUAGGGACAUCAUAGAGGGUGAGAAUCCCGUAUUUGACCUUUACUUUCAACUUUGUGAUACACUUUCAAAGAGUCGGAUUGUUUGGGAAUGCAGUCCAAAAUGGGUGGUAAAUUUCAUCUAAAGCUAAAUAUUGGCGAGAGACCGAUAGCGAACAAGUACCGUGAGGGAAAGAUGAAAAGAACUUUGAAAAGAGAGUUAAACAGUACGUGAAAUUGUCAAAAGGGAAGCGUUUGACACCAGUGUUGUUUUUCUGAAAAUCAAUUAAAGAACUGUUUAUGCUAAGUUGUUUAGACUUUAUCAGCUAACUGUUUAGUUUUGAGCUUUUCUUUAAUGCACUUUUCAGUUAACAAGUCAACAUCAAUUUCUUUUGCUGUAAAAAAGCUUGAGGAAGGUGGCUUGAGAUUCGUCUUAAGUGUUUAUAGCCUCUUGCCUAUGCAGUCGGAGAGAUUGAGGUCUGCAGCGUAGAUCCUUCGGGGCUAAAUGCAUUUGUGCUAAGUUAUAGCAUUUUAUAGACAACUUGUUGACUAUGAUUUGUCUUGUAGCUUACUCGCUUAUGUUAUUUUACCUACGCUUAGGAUGUUGAGUCGUAGAGCACGCAG